CGUACGUUCCCGGACCUUGUACACACCGCCCGUCAAGCCAUGGAAGCCGAGGGUACCUGAAGACGGUGACUUUACUGGGGACGCUUGUCUAAGGUAAAAUUGGUGACUGGGGCU
This 114-nucleotide ribosomal RNA is filed under the name uncultured bacterium. RNAcentral's name for it is "partial 16S ribosomal RNA". It matches the Rfam family "Bacterial small subunit ribosomal RNA", at positions 1365 to 1482 of the family's 1533-position model. The record is from RNAcentral.